RNAcentral lists this non-coding RNA (31 nucleotides) under Rattus norvegicus (Norway rat). Lineage: Eukaryota; Metazoa; Chordata; Mammalia; Rodentia; Muridae. The record is from RNAcentral.
UNGUUUGGUGCUGACAGGUUACCUCCAAAGU